GAGUUUCCCAGCCAGCAGCAUCCCCGAGGACAAACAAGACGGCUGGGAACGGCCUAGGGGAAUGACAAUCCCAGCAGGAAGAGAAAAUGGAGGAGAGAGUCCCAGGAGCCCCAGGACAGGGGGCUUGUGCGUGUGGCCCAUAGCCAAGCUACGGCCCGGGAACAGCCCCUGGACACGGGCUUCAUGAAAGCCAAGGACUCGGCAUGUAUUUCUGCUGGUUCCAUGCAGAAAGUCCAUAGCAGAAGACUGUGAGGCCCAAGACUAUAUCCUGGGGUGGAAGGAAGAAUGUCAGC
Long non-coding RNA from Mustela lutreola (European mink), 293 nucleotides. RefSeq lists it as uncharacterized. NCBI's taxonomy places the organism in Eukaryota, Metazoa, Chordata, Mammalia, Carnivora, Mustelidae. The transcript is spliced from 3 exons. The record is from RefSeq and is a predicted model, not a curated record.